This 536-nucleotide ribosomal RNA is filed under the name Pseudocheilinus evanidus (striated wrasse). RNAcentral's name for it is "partial large subunit ribosomal RNA". It matches the Rfam family "Bacterial large subunit ribosomal RNA", at positions 1840 to 2571 of the family's 2925-position model. Lineage: Eukaryota; Metazoa; Chordata; Actinopteri; Labriformes; Labridae. The record is from RNAcentral.
AACGAAUAAGAGGUCCCGCCUGCCCUGUGACUACAUGUUUAACGGCCGCGGUAUUUUGACCGUGCAAAGGUAGCGCAAUCACUUGUCUUUUAAAUGGAGACCUGUAUGAAUGGCUUUACGAGGGCUUAACUGUCUCCUUUUUCCCGUCAAUGAAAUUGAUCUCCCCGUGCAGAAGCGGGGAUCCCCCCACAAGACGAGAAGACCCUAUGAAGCUUUAGACAUCAAGGCAGACUACGCCAUAUAAUCCUAAAAUAAUAGAAUGAGCCACAUAAUCCCUGCCCGACUGUCUUCGGUUGGGGCGACCACGGGGGAAAGAAAACCCCCCACGAGGACCGGGAAUAUUCCCGCCUAAAACCCAGAGCCCUCGCUCCAAGUAUCAAAACCUUUUUGACCUGCCAGAUCCAGGACACCUGAUCUACGGAUAAAGUUACUCUAGGGAUAACAGCGCAAUCCCCUUAUAGAGGCCUUAUCGACAAGGGGGUUUACGACCUCGAUGUUGGAUCAGGACAUCCUAAUGGUGCAGCCGCUAUUAAGGG